RNAcentral lists this unclassified non-coding RNA (200 nucleotides) under soil metagenome. RNAcentral describes it as "partial contains internal transcribed spacer 2 and large subunit ribosomal RNA". The record is from RNAcentral.
AUGCCUGUUCGAGCGUCAUUAUAACCCUCAAGCUUAGCUUGGUGUUGGAGCAUGCUGCUGCAGCUCUUAAAAUCAGUGGCAGUGCCUGUUAGCUCUAAGCGUAGUAAUACUUCUCGCUAUAGACCCCAGCGGAAACGCGCCAGAACCUCUAAUUUUCUAUGGUUGACCUCGGAUCAGGUAGGACUACCCGCUGAACUUAA